Molecule: long non-coding RNA, 2461 nt
Filed under: Marmota monax (woodchuck)
Lineage: Eukaryota; Metazoa; Chordata; Mammalia; Rodentia; Sciuridae
Source: RNAcentral
CUCACUCUGAGGCUCACUUUCUGUUAGAUUUUCUAGGUAUGAGUCCUCCCAAAUUUUCUAACUGUAUUUAAAAAAAUAUUUUUUAUUAGUGCAUUAUAAUUAUAAAGAAUAGUGGGACUUAUUUUGACAUAAUCAUGCCUGCAUGGAAUAUAAGUUCCUCCACCUGCACCUGCUCCCCUUCCUCUCCUUUGCUGGUCUUCCUUCUAUUUAUUUAUUGUUUAUUUAAUUUGCCUUGAUGAUUUAGACCCAACUUAGAGUUGAGUUUUCCAGUUUUGUUUUGCUUUUCAGCAAGAAGGGGCCCAACAGACACACAGAGGAAAACAGGUUUGUGGCAGGGUCAGUCUCAGAGGUAUGAGUUUAGAGGGAGGAUGGAGAAGUUAGAAAUGGUAUUUACCAGGAGAAUGGAGAUGCUUUCGAGGGUGGCAGAAGCCUGGAUGCCAGAGUGAGGCCGACGACAGAUGCCUAGGCACGCAUGGUCAGUUUUCAGCUGGCUGCAGUGGGGUUGGUUCUUGGAGGUGGAUGAAACCUGCUUUGUCUGUUCCAGGCACUGUGUCACUGUGUUCCCCUGAGUGUGGCGGGAAGCUCAGUGCCUCUCUGGAGUUUCCCUGGGCUGCAGAGAUCUGUCUAGUUCAAGGUCAUGCCCUUGUUGGGGACUGUCUGAGCCCCCCUGAUUCAUGACAGUGCAUUUCUGACUCAUUGCAGCCCCAGAGGCUCCUGCUUGCAGAAUAUUAUCUUACUUAACCCUCAGUAAUUUAUCUGCAAUUAGUGGGAUGCAUGGUCACCACAAAAGGUAUAUUUAAGUGGGGUUUUGAUGAUUAGGUAAGAAUUUUUAUUGUUGUAGAAAAAGGAGACAGGUAAAGGCAGAGGGAACAAUGUGAGCAAGGGUGUGGCAUGCAGGUGUCAUGGUGCUCCUUCCAAGGGCAAUAGUGGUAUUCCAUGUGGCUGGAGCUGGGAACUGGCCUGUCAGCACCCAUCAUGUUAUCCCGAGUCUUUGAAUUAAUUGUAGAGCUUCUUGAUCCUAGAAAGGUUCACUUGAGGGUGGAAUAAAUGAUAGUUUUGAGAGGAAAUAGUUCUGUAGUCAUCAGCAGGGCCAUGUGUUCAGUGGCUACUCAGGUCUCACCCUGCAGAUGGACAUGUGACCUAUGACCUGGCAGGGAGAACCUAGGGCUGAGGGUAGAUUAGAUUGUGUGCACCACCUGCCCUGCAGAGAUCCCACAUAAGCCUUGGCCCUUGGACUGGGAUUUCCUAUCUGGGGACCAUCAGGGGUAAUAUCUGCUCCAGGGAUUUGGAAUUGGGACUCUGGGAAGCUCCUAGAAGAAGCUGAUCCCAGAGGACACAGAGGAGAAGAUACAGAGCAGGGAACUCUGGGUGCCAGGGUCUGGUGCUACCUUAGUACAGGGACUCAGGGGCUGGUAGGUGCCAAGAGAGAAACCUCCUAUUCUUCUUCCUCUUUACAUCUUUCUGAACAAAGUUAGGAUUUAUUUUCUGUUUUUAAGGAUGCAAGUCAUUACAUUUAGGGCACUCAGGACAAUCCAGGUUAACCUUCCCAUAUCAAGGUGCUUAAUUGCACCUGCAAAUUCCCUUUUGCCCUGUGAGUUGAAAUUUUCAUAGACUCCAGGGUUAGGAUGAGUACAUCUCUGUGAGCCACUGGGCCUGCCCCACCUAUUUCUUAUCUGAGAUUUCUGCCCUUUACAGAGAGCUGCUGAGACCUCUCAGGGCAUCAUUUCCAGGCCACUUAACCUCAUUUUCAUCCUCCAGAAGAGGCUAGCACUGAGUCUCCAGAAUAGACCUGGAGAUGCAUAUUGGAGUACAUGUGGCAUAUGGGGGCAGGGGAGAGAUUCUAGUGAGAAAAGUAAUAAACUAAAGGACCAUGCAGGACGAGGAACUCUGACCCACAGCCUGCAGCCACCAGCCUAGGAGGCCAGACACCAUCGCUAUAGCCACCAGUUCAAUGAUCAGUCUCUGUAGAUAGCCACCAAUUUCCUUCACUUUUUUUUCAAUUUAAAAUUAGAAGAGAAAGCCACCUUGCCUGUGACUAUUCUUAUAGGAUGCCCACUUAUGGUAGUCUCCUUCAGUUUUCCUGGUUAGUCACCUCCAAUCAGGGCACUUCUGGAGCCCUCCUUCCCAGCCUGAAGCUUUGGCCUUGUGAAUCUCUGCCCAAAGCCCUUGAUGGUGGCUUACUGUCUGGCCACAGUGUACUCAGAAUUGACCUGUUCUUAUUUGUGUAGUUUUUGUUUUUUUCCACACUUGAAAGAAGAGGGGAGGGGAGAUGAAUCAGGGUUGGCAGUCUGAGCAGGGUAGACUAGGAUCAAGUUAUGACUGUGGGCAGCUGGGGUUUAGCAAACCCAGAGCCUUGGAGCUGGCUCACAAAGGUGAGGAAGGAACUGGGCCAAGGGUGGAGGGUAAUAGCUCUGGCCUGACCCACCUGCAGGCAAGAAUUGCAGAGACAGCACUUAUAGAG